UGAUCGACACACAGGGGAGUCCCAGUGUGACGGGUGCGAUGCCGAGUGGGAGGCCAGGGAGGCCGUGUUCACCCCCAGCCCAGGUGGCACGCCCACGCCCACACCCAGUAUCCGCCGCGGCCGGGCCAGCGUCGGUUUCGACGGCCGGUCAAAGGCCCCCGGAAUGUGUCGCCUCUCGGGGCGUCUUAUAGCCGGGGGUGCAAUGCGGCCAGUCGGGACCGAGGAACGCGCUCCGGCACGGACGCUGGCUUAAUGGUCGUCAGCGACCCGUCUUGAAACACGGACCAAGGAGUCUAACAUCCACGCGAGUGUUCGGGUGUCAAACCCGUCCGCGCAGUGAAAGCGAAUGGAGGUGGGAACCCCUGAGGGUGCACCAUCGACCGAUCCUGAAGUUUUCGGAUGGAUUUGAGUAGGAGCGUGGCUGUUGGGACCCGAAAGAUGGUGAACUAUGCCUGAAUAGGGUGAAGCCAGAGGAAACUCUGGUGGAGGCUCGCAGCGGCUCUGACGUGCAAAUCGAUCGUCAAAUUUGGGUAUAGGGGCGAAAGACUAAUCGAACCAUCUGGUAGCUGGUUCCUGCCGACGUUUAACCUCAGGAUAGCAGUAACGUUUUCAGUUUUAUGACCCUAGCAGGCUCAUUAGAGGCCUUGGGGCUCGAAACAACCUUAACCUAUUCGAAUC
The sequence is a ribosomal RNA, 678 nucleotides long. It matches the Rfam family "Eukaryotic large subunit ribosomal RNA", at positions 1 to 1064 of the family's 3401-position model. The record is from Rfam.